Molecule: ribosomal RNA, 332 nt
Filed under: uncultured eukaryote
Lineage: Eukaryota
Description: partial 18S ribosomal RNA
Rfam family: Eukaryotic small subunit ribosomal RNA
Source: RNAcentral
CCCUUAGAUGUUCUGGGCCGCACGCGCGCUACACUGUUCGACGCAGCGAGUCUUAACCUUGACCGAAAGGUUUGGGUAAUCUUCAGCAAAGUCGAACGUGAUGGGGAUCGAUCAUUGCAAUUAUUGAUCGUGAACGAGGAAUUCCUAGUAAGUGCAAGUCAUCAGCUUGCGCUGAUUACGUCCCUGCCCUUUGUACACACCGCCCGUCGCUACUACCGAUUGAAUGGUUUAGUGAGAUCUCUGGAUUGACGCUGGCUAGGGGGCGACCCUUGGCCAGACUGCUCGAGAAACUGCUCAAACUUGAUCAUUUAGAGGAAGUAAAAGUCGCAACA